Molecule: ribosomal RNA, 346 nt
Filed under: uncultured bacterium
Lineage: Bacteria
Description: partial 16S ribosomal RNA
Rfam family: Bacterial small subunit ribosomal RNA
Source: RNAcentral
CCUACGGGUGGCAGCAGUGAGGAAUAUUGGUCAAUGGGCGCGAGCCUGAACCAGCCAAGUCGCGUGAGGGAAGACGGCCCUACGGGUUGUAAACCUCUUUUGCCGGGGAGCAACGGGCGCCACGUGUGGCGCCACUGAGAGGACCCGGAGAAAAAGCAGCGGCGAACUCCGUGCCAGCAGCCGCGGUAAUACGGAGGAUGCGAGCGUUAGCCGGAUUUAUGGGGUUGACGGGGGGCGUAGGCGGAGCGUUAAGUCAGUGGUCAACUUGAGGGGCUCACCCCCUUCCCGCCAUUGAAACUGGCGCUCUUGUGUGUACGAGAAGUCUGCGGACUGCGUGGUGUAGCGG